This 106-nucleotide ribosomal RNA is filed under the name Pteropus alecto (black flying fox). The record is from RNAcentral. Lineage: Eukaryota; Metazoa; Chordata; Mammalia; Chiroptera; Pteropodidae.
GUCUACAGCCAUGCCACCCUGCACGUGCCCUAUCUUGUCUGUUCUCGGAAGCUAAGCAGGGUCAGGCCUGGUUAGUACUUGGAUGGGAGACCAGGUGCUGUAGGCA